RNAcentral lists this ribosomal RNA (903 nucleotides) under uncultured bacterium. RNAcentral's name for it is "bacterial SSU rRNA". It matches the Rfam family "Bacterial small subunit ribosomal RNA", at positions 8 to 905 of the family's 1533-position model. The record is from RNAcentral.
AGAGUUUGAUCCUGGCUCAGGAUGAACGCUAGCGGCAGGCUUAAUACAUGCAAGUCGUGGGGCAGCAGCUUUGUAGCAAUACAGAGGCUGGCGACCGGCAAACGGGUGCGGAACACGUACGCAAUCUACCCAGAACCGGUGAAUAGCCCUCCGAAAGGAGGAUUAAUACACCGUAACAUAUUGAAGAGGCAUCUUUUUAAUAUAAAAGCUCCGGCGGUUUUGGAUGAGCGUGCGGCUGAUUAGGUAGUUGGCGGAGUAAUAGCCCACCAAGCCUACGAUCAGUAACUGGUGUGAGAGCACGACCAGUCACACGGGCACUGAGACACGGGCCCGACUCCUACGGGAGGCAGCAGUAAGGAAUAUUGGUCAAUGGACGCAAGUCUGAACCAGCCAUGCCGCGUGAAGGAUGAAGGUCCUCUGGAUUGUAAACUUCUUUUAUAUGGGACGAAACCCUUUUAUUCUUAAAAGAUUGACGGUACCAUACGAAUAAGCACCGGCUAACUCCGUGCCAGCAGCCGCGGUAAUACGGAGGGUGCAAGCGUUAUCCGGAUUCACUGGGUUUAAAGGGUGCGUAGGUGGGUUUGUAAGUCCGUGGUGAAAUCUCCAAGCUUAACUUGGAAACUGCCAUGGAUACUAUAAAUCUUGAAUACCGUGGAGGUGAGCGGAAUAUGUCAUGUAGCGGUGAAAUGCUUAGAUAUGACAUAGAACACCAAUUGCGAAGGCAGCUCACUACACGAAUAUUGACACUGAGGCACGAAAGCGUGGGGAUCAAACAGGAUUAGAUACCCUGGUAGUCCACGCCCUAAACUAUGGAUACUCGACAUACGCGAUACACAGUGUGUGUCUGAGCGAAAGCAUUAAGUAUCCCACCUGGGAAGUACGAUCGCAAGAUUGAAACUCAAA